AUUGUACUCCCUCCGUUCCAAAAUAGAUGACCCAACUUUGCACUAACUUUGUACAAAGUUAGUGCAAAGUGUACAAAGUUAGUGCAAAGUUGGGUCAUCUAUUUUGGAACGGAGGGAGUAAAUC
Non-coding RNA from Triticum aestivum (bread wheat), 124 nucleotides. NCBI's taxonomy places the organism in Eukaryota, Viridiplantae, Streptophyta, Magnoliopsida, Poales, Poaceae. The record is from Rfam.